Molecule: ribosomal RNA, 279 nt
Filed under: uncultured bacterium
Lineage: Bacteria
Description: partial 16S ribosomal RNA
Rfam family: Bacterial small subunit ribosomal RNA
Source: RNAcentral
UGCCAGCCGCCGCGGUAAUACGGAGGGAGCUAGCGUUGUUCGGAAUUACUGGGCGUAAAGCGCGCGUAGGCGGCUUGGCAAGUUGGAGGUGAAAUCCCGGGGCUCAACCCCGGAACUGCCUCCAAAACUGCUGAGCUAGAGACAUGGAGAGGUGAGUAGAAUUCCUAGUGUAGAGGUGAAAUUCGUAGAUAUUAGGAAGAAUACCAGUGGCGAAGGCGGCUCACUGGCCAUGUACUGACGCUGAGGUGCGAAAGCGUGGGGAGCGAACAGGAUUAGAUA